CUCCGUAUAGCUCAGUCUGGUAGAGCAUAUCGUUUGGGACGAUAGGGUCCGAUGUUCAAAUCAUCGUACGGAGACCA
Molecule: transfer RNA, 77 nt
Filed under: Acinetobacter phage vB_AbaM_PhT2
Lineage: Duplodnaviria; Heunggongvirae; Uroviricota; Caudoviricetes; Pantevenvirales; Straboviridae
Also listed under: 1 other name
Description: tRNA-Pro
Rfam family: tRNA
About the family: Transfer RNA (tRNA) molecules are approximately 80 nucleotides in length. Their secondary structure includes four short double-helical elements and three loops (D, anti-codon, and T loops).
Source: RNAcentral